Molecule: unclassified non-coding RNA, 257 nt
Filed under: Hevea brasiliensis (rubber tree)
Lineage: Eukaryota; Viridiplantae; Streptophyta; Magnoliopsida; Malpighiales; Euphorbiaceae
Source: RNAcentral
AGAAAAAGAAAAAAAAAAAACCACUUCAUUCAGAUGAGUCUAAUAAAAAAAAUUUCUUUUCUUUUCUUUUCUUGCUAACCAAACAGAGAAAACAUCGUAUCUAAUUGCUUAGGUAGGCUAUGUUUUUCAUUUACCCUCAUACCGGCCUGGUACUUUACCAAAUAAAGUACAGACCCAUAUACUCAGUUGAUUUUCCCCUCAACAGAGCAUUCCCCUUCUAUUAAACUAUGUAAAUUACCUGAUUCAUUUGUGAAACA